Molecule: ribosomal RNA, 1541 nt
Filed under: Oenococcus oeni
Lineage: Bacteria; Bacillati; Bacillota; Bacilli; Lactobacillales; Lactobacillaceae
Description: bacterial LSU rRNA
Rfam family: Bacterial large subunit ribosomal RNA
Source: RNAcentral
GCCCAGAUCACCAGUUAAGGUCCCUAAAUAUAUGCUAAGUGGAAACGUUGUGAAGGUGCAUAGACAACUAGGAGGUUGGCUCAGAAGCAGCCACCCUUUAAAGAGUGCGUAAUAGCUCACUAGUCGAGUGCUCUUGCGCGGAUAAUGUACCGGGGCUAAGCAUAUUACCGAAACUGUGGAUGCGUAAGCAUGGUAGGAUAGCGUAAUUAACGCGAUGAAGGAUGACCGUAAGGACAUGUUGGAGCGUUAACUAGUGAGAAUUCCGGUAUGAGUAGCGAAAGAUAGGUGAGAAUCCUAUCCACCGAAUGAGUAAGGUUUCCCCCGGAAGGCUCGUCCGCGGGGGGUUAGUCGGGACCUAAGGCGAGGCUGAAAAGCGUAGUCGAUGGACAACAGGUUGAUAUUCCUGUACCGAUAUUUAAUUGCCGAAGGAAGGACGCAGAAGGAUAACACAGGCCACUAUUGGAUGUGGUUUUAAACAGUUAGUCUUCAUAAGAGUCAAAUGCUUUUAUGUUUAAGGAUAAGCUGUGAAUGUACCAAGUUUACUUGGAAAUUGUGUGAUUUCACGCUGCUGAAAAAAGUUUCGUAGGAAGAAAAUAUUGCCCGUACCGCAAACCGACACAGGUACUCAAGUGGAGAACACUAAGGUGAGCGAGUGAACUAUUGUUAAGGAACUCUGCAAAAUGAGUCCGUAACUUCGGAAGAAGGACUGCUGGUUUUAUACCAGCCGCAGCAAAUAGGCCCAAACAACUGUUUAUCAAAAACACAGGUUUCUGCAAAAUCGUAAGAUGAAGUAUAGGGGCUGACGCCUGCCCAGUGCUGGAAGGUUAAAAGGAGGACUUAGCUUCGGCGAAGGUCUUAAUUGAAGCCCCAGUGAACGGCGGCCGUAACUAUAACGGUCCUAAGGUAGCGAAAUUCCUUGUCGGGUAAGUUCCGACCCGCAUGAAAGGCGUAAUGAUUUGGGCGCUGUCUCAACAAUAGACUCGGUGAAAUUUAAAUUCCAGUGAAGAUGCUGGGUACCCGCGACAGGACGGAAAGACCCCGUGGAGCUUUACUGUAGCUUGAUAUUGAAUGUUUGUGCUGCAUGUGCAGGAUAGGUAGGAGACUUUGAAGUCGGAACGCUAGUUUCGAUUGAGUCACCCUUGAGAUACUACCUCUGUUGUAUGAACGUUCUAACUCUGAUCAGUUAUCCUGAUCGAAGACAGUGUCUGGCAGGCAGUUUGACUGGGGCGGUCGCCUCCUAAAAGAUAACGGAGGCGCUCAAAGGUUUGCUCAGAAUGGUUGGAAAUCAUUCGUAGCGUGUAAAGGCAUAAGCAAGCUUGACUGUGAGACUGACAAGUCGAGCAGGUACGAAAGUAGGACUUAGUGAUCCGGUGGUUCCGUAUGGAAGGGCCAUCGCUCAACGGACAAAAGCUACCCCGGGGAUAACAGGCUCAUCUCCCCCAAGAGUCCACAUCGACGGGGAGGUUUGGCACCUCGAUGUCGGCUCAUCGCAUCCUGGGGCUGUAGUCGGUCCCAAGGGUUGGGCUGUUCGCCCAUUAAAG